Molecule: ribosomal RNA, 373 nt
Filed under: uncultured bacterium
Lineage: Bacteria
Description: bacterial SSU rRNA
Rfam family: Bacterial small subunit ribosomal RNA
Source: RNAcentral
AUACGGAGGAUGCGAGCGUUAUCCGGAUUUAUUGGGUUUAAAGGGUGCGUAGGCCGACUUUUAAGUCAGCGGUGAAAUUUUCCGGCUUAACCGGGACCUUGCCGUUGAAACUGAUAGUCUUGAGUGUAAAUGAGGUAGGCGGAAUGUGUGGUGUAGCGGUGAAAUGCUUAGAUAUCACACAGAACUCCGAUUGCGAAGGCAGCUUACUGGCAUACAACUGACGCUGAGGCACGAAAGUGUGGGUAUCAAACAGGAUUAGAUACCCUGGUAGUCCACACAGUAAACGAUGAUAACUAGCCGUUGGCGAUAUACAGUCAGUGGCAGAGCGAAAGCAUUAAGUUAUCCACCUGGGGAGUACGCCGGCAACGGUGAA